GCCCCGGUGGCUCAAUUGGAUAGAGCAGCGGCCUCCUAAGCCGCAGGUUGUGGGUUCGAAUCCCGCCCGGGGUA
RNAcentral lists this transfer RNA (74 nucleotides) under Planctomycetota bacterium. Its description in RNAcentral is "Planctomycetes bacterium (marine metagenome) tRNA-Arg". It matches the Rfam family "tRNA". From Rfam's summary of the family: Transfer RNA (tRNA) molecules are approximately 80 nucleotides in length. Their secondary structure includes four short double-helical elements and three loops (D, anti-codon, and T loops). The record is from RNAcentral. Lineage: Bacteria; Pseudomonadati; Planctomycetota.